AACGAACGCUGGCGGCAUGCCUAACACAUGCAAGUCGAACGAGACCUUCGGGUCUAGUGGCGCACGGGUGCGUCACACGUGGGAAUCUUCCCUUUGCUUCGGAAUAACAGUUAGAAAUGACUGCUAAUACCGGAUGAUGUCGAAAGACCAAAGAUUUAUCGGCAAAGGAUGAGCCCGCGUAGGAUUAGGUAGUUGGUAGGGUAAAGGCCUACCAAGCCAACGAUCCAUAGCUGGUCGGAGAGGGUGAUCAGCCACACUGGGACGGAGAGACGGCCCAGACUCCAACGGGAGGGAGAGGUAGGGAAACUUCAGCGAUGGGCGAAAGCCGGGAGGAGCAACGCCGCGUGAGGGAUGAAGGUCUUCGGAUCGUAAAACUCUGUUAGUAGGGAAGAAGAUAUGUGUAAGUAACUGUGCACAUCUUGACGGUACCUAAUCAGAGAGACAAGGCUAAAUACGUG
This 458-nucleotide ribosomal RNA is filed under the name uncultured bacterium. RNAcentral describes it as "partial 16S ribosomal RNA". It matches the Rfam family "Bacterial small subunit ribosomal RNA", at positions 29 to 507 of the family's 1533-position model. The record is from RNAcentral.